UUCCAGGAAAGAACAAAUCCCCAUGUUUGUGGAAACUCACAGUCAUCACCCAGCCACAUCAAAAUUCAUCCACUUAAUUAGAGUUCAAACUCAACUAAGGGGAAAAAAGAGAAAAAAAAGCAAUGGCAUGCCUAUUAAAAAAAAAUUGGGCAUACAUUAUCUUUCAGCUUGUCCCUCAAUUUGGUCAAGACUAUCAAAUUACUAACUGAUUUAUCCAAUAAAAUACACGUGACAUAUGAAGAAUUUAAGAAAACAAUGGAAUCACAUGGGAAGGAUGUUUCUUAAUAACACCAAUUCAACAAAAUUUUGAAGGAUCCAACGAUCUCGACCAAUUACAACUGCUAAAUGUGUAAAAUGAAUUUUAGUGUUGCAAAAAUUCAGGCAUAGGCUUGGAUCAAGUGAUUACUAAUAGACAAUGACCAAUAUUAGAUGCAAUAGCUUGCUAAGCCUGAAAUAUUAAUCCAUCUUGGAGCUGCUUAUGGCCCAGCUCGGCAACAGCUCUUAAGGUGGCGUUUAGUGUUUUGACCCUAGUAUUCGGUAGCAUAGUGUUUACACUUGUGUUUAGUAUUUAGAGUUUGAGAGAAUGGUUCAUGAAAUAUUACCUCUCCUAACUUUUAGACAUUGAGAGAGUGUUUUGAUUAGGGUAAAAAAAGUAAUACUACUAUUUUUAUUUUUAUAUUUAACAGCUAAUCUAAUAACUAUUUUUAUCGAAUACUUUUAUUUUAAAUCACUGUAUAAACAGUUAACAAUUAAUAGCUGAUAGCUAUUAGAAUACCUAACAGCUACUAGAACAACAAAUAGCUAUUAGAACAAUUAAUAUUAUCGAACAGACCCUAUAUCAAUA
RNAcentral lists this unclassified non-coding RNA (844 nucleotides) under Hevea brasiliensis (rubber tree). The record is from RNAcentral. Lineage: Eukaryota; Viridiplantae; Streptophyta; Magnoliopsida; Malpighiales; Euphorbiaceae.